AGAUUGAACGCUGGCGGCAGGCCUAACACAUGCAAGUCGAGCGGCAGCACGGGUACUUGUACCUGGUGGCGAGCGGCGGACGGGUGAGUAAUGCCUAGGAAUCUGCCUGGUAGUGGGGGAUAACGCUCGGAAACGGACGCUAAUACCGCAUACGUCCUACGGGAGAAAGCAGGGGACCUUCGGGCCUUGCGCUAUCAGAUGAGCCUAGGUCGGAUUAGCUAGUUGGUGAGGUAAUGGCUCACCAAGGCGACGAUCCGUAACUGGUCUGAGAGGAUGAUCAGUCACACUGGAACUGAGACACGGUCCAGACUCCUACGGGAGGCAGCAGUGGGGAAUAUUGGACAAUGGGCGAAAGCCUGAUCCAGCCAUGCCGCGUGUGUGAAGAAGGUCUUCGGAUUGUAAAGUCCCUUUUGUUAGGAAAGAAAGCAUUCGGUUAAUACCCGGUGUUCUGACGUACCAAAGAAUAAGCACCGGCUAACUUCGUGCCAGCAGCCGACGUAA
This 501-nucleotide ribosomal RNA is filed under the name uncultured soil bacterium. RNAcentral's name for it is "bacterial SSU rRNA". It matches the Rfam family "Bacterial small subunit ribosomal RNA", at positions 26 to 523 of the family's 1533-position model. The record is from RNAcentral.